Molecule: long non-coding RNA, 557 nt
Organism: Homo sapiens (human)
Lineage: Eukaryota; Metazoa; Chordata; Mammalia; Primates; Hominidae
Gene: FAM230J
Product: family with sequence similarity 230 member J
Source: Ensembl
GAGUUUUUCAAAGGUCAGAGCAGAUUGAACCAUUGUGGUUUCAUUUUCCCUGAUUUUGAUUUUUCUUAUGGGGAACCUGUGUGGCUGCAUUCAAGGUGACUCGAAGAAGCCUUCCAAAAAGCGUGUGAAAAGGAAGCCCUACUCUACUACCAAGGUGACUUCAGGGAGCACAUUCAAUGAGAAUACAAGAAGAUAUGCUGUGCACACCAACCAGUGUAGGAGACCUCAUGGCUCCCGGGUAAAGAAGAAGAGGUACCCACAAGAAGAUGACUUCCAUCAUACAGUCUUCAGCAACCUUGAAAGAUUGGACAAGCUUCAGCCCACUCUUGAAGCCUCUGAGGAGUCUCUAGUUCACAAGGACAGAGGAGAUGGAGAGAGGCCAGUCAACGUGAAGGUGGUGCAGGUGGCCCCUCUGAGGCGUGAAUCUACUCCCCAUGAGGACACCGUACACAACAUCACUAACGAGGAUGCCUCACACGAUAUCACUAACGAGGACGCUGUCCACGGCAUCGCUAACGAGGCCGCCGACAAGGGCAUCGCCAACGAGGACGCCGCCC